RNAcentral lists this ribosomal RNA (497 nucleotides) under uncultured bacterium. RNAcentral describes it as "partial 16S ribosomal RNA". It matches the Rfam family "Bacterial small subunit ribosomal RNA", at positions 28 to 507 of the family's 1533-position model. The record is from RNAcentral.
GACGAACGCUGGCGGCGUGCUUAACACAUGCAAGUCGAACGGUGAAGCGCCUUCCUUUUUGGUGGGUGUGGAUGAGUGGCGAACGGGUGAGUAACACGUUAGUAACCUGCCCCCUUUUACUGGAUAACCGCAUGAAAGUGUUGCUAAUACGGGAUAUUCUGGGUCUGUCGCAUGAUGGGUCUGGGAAAGAUCUUGUUUCGGUGGGGGAUGGGCUCGCGGCGUAUUAGCUUGUUGGUGGGGUGAUGGCCUACCAAGGCGGCGAUGGGUAGCCGCCCUGAUAGGAUGGUGGGCCACACUAGAAGUGAUGAGCGGUCCAGAAGCCUCCGAGAGGCAGCAGCAGGGAAGAUUAGUGAAUGAGGGGAGGAAGGAUGAAGCAGCGACGCGGGGGGGGGGAAGGAGGUCGUAGGGUAGAGAACCUCUUUCGCGAGUGAAGCAGGGCUGCCUCGUAUGUGGGUGGGUUGACGGUAGCUAGAGAAGAAGCGCCGGCUAACUACGUG